UCCGAACCGAACCGAUCCGUACCUUUUGAAUUUUGUUCGUGGAUUAAUGGUCCGGACACGGAUUGAACAAUUAAAAAACCGUGACUCGCGGUUCGGUCCACGGAUUUUCAUUACGAAACCGUGGAUUAACCGAACCGAACCGUGAGAUAUUUAUUUUAUAUAAAUAAUAUAUAUGUGUGUAUUUAUAUAAUAAAUUGUUAGUAAUGUUAACACUUUUUUCCACCAAUUUUAGUAUUUUAUCUUAAUAAUGGGAUAUAGUGUAAAUGUACAAAAAAUAUAGGGAGUAAAUCGUAGUUUUUUCGUAAAAUUACGGGUAACCUUAGUUGAGUUUUAGUAGUUCGUUUCUUUUCCGAUUCUUUUAUGUUAUGUAAUGGAGUAUAAUGAUACAAUCCUACUUGUGUUUUAGAUUCUUUUGAAUUUGAUUUUUGAAGUAAGCCUUUGGUAGUUUAUGUAACAAGUACUUUCUGGUGGUGUUAAACUUAAUUCUGAAUGUAACAUUCUUCCCUUUUAUUGUGAGAUAUAUGUUUGAGCUUUAUUUUUGCUAAAAUCUGUGGACAAAAUCGUAACCGAUUCGUGAGUCAUGGAUCGGAUUGGAACCGGACCGUAGAACUUUUGGUCCGGACACGAAUUUCAUUUUGUAAAAACCGUGACUAGCAGUUCGGUCCUCGGAUUCCUAGAAAUCCGAACCGAACCGGACUGCGAGCAGCCCUAA
This is a long non-coding RNA of Rhododendron vialii, 712 nucleotides long. RefSeq lists it as uncharacterized. The transcript has 2 exons. NCBI's taxonomy places the organism in Eukaryota, Viridiplantae, Streptophyta, Magnoliopsida, Ericales, Ericaceae. The record is from RefSeq and is a predicted model, not a curated record.